GGUCAUGAGACCCUUCUGGUGACCAACUUCUGACUCCAUCAUGAGAUGGUCACCAGAAGUCCUAAUUUACUCAUCAUAAGUCCAUCGUGUUUGGGCUCAAUCGAUUUGCCUCGACGAGCACCAUCUAUCUAGAUGAGGUCCAGGGUCAUGAGACCCUUCUGGUGACCAACUCCUGACUCCAUCAUGAGAUGGUCACCAGAUGUUCUAAUCUACUCAUAAUAACUCCAUCGUGUUUGGGCUCAAUAGAUUUGCCCCGACGAGCACCAUCGAUCUAGAUGAAGUCCAGGUUCUCAUGAUGGAGUCAGGAGUUGGUCACCAGAACUCCUAAUCUACUCAUUAUCACUCCAUCGUGUUUGGGCUCAAUCGAUUUGCCUCGACGAGCACCAUCUAUCUAGAUGAGGUCCAGGGUCAUGAGACCCUUCUGGUGACCAGCUCCUGACUCCAUCAUGAGAUGGUCACCAGAUGUUCUAAUCUACUCAUCAUAACUCCAUCGUGUUUGGGCUCAAUAGAUUUGCCCCGACGAGCACCAUCGAUCUAGAUGAAGUCCAGGUUCUCAUGAUGGAGUCAGGAGUUGGUCACCAGAAAUCCUAAUCUACUCAUUAUCACUCUAUCGUGAUUGGGCU
Molecule: long non-coding RNA, 623 nt
Organism: Cydia splendana
Lineage: Eukaryota; Metazoa; Arthropoda; Insecta; Lepidoptera; Tortricidae
Exons: 2
Source: RefSeq, a predicted model, not a curated record